UGGGGAAUAUUGGACAAUGGGCGAAAGCCUGAUCCAGCCAUGCCGCGUGUGUGAAGAAGGUCUACGGAUUGUAAAGCACUUUAAGUUGGGAGGAAGGGCAUUAACCUAAUACGUUAGUGUUUUGACGUUACCGACAGAAUAAGCACCGGCUAACUCUGUGCCAGCAGCCGCGGUAAUACAGAGGGUGCAAGCGUUAAUCGGAAUUACUGGGCGUAAAGCGCGCGUAGGUGGUUUGUUAAGUUGGAUGUGAAAUCCCCGGGCUCAACCUGGGAACUGCAUUCAAAACUGACUGACUAGAGUAUGGUAGAGGGUGGUGGAAUUUCCUGUGUAGCGGUGAAAUGCGUAGAUAUAGGAAGGAACACCAGUGGCGAAGGCGACCACCUGGACUAAUACUGACACUGAGGUGCGAAAGCGUGGGGAGCAAACA
RNAcentral lists this ribosomal RNA (427 nucleotides) under uncultured bacterium. Its description in RNAcentral is "partial 16S ribosomal RNA". It matches the Rfam family "Bacterial small subunit ribosomal RNA", at positions 355 to 774 of the family's 1533-position model. The record is from RNAcentral.